GACGAACGCUGGCGGCGUGCUUAACACAUGCAAGUCGAGCGGUAAGGCCCUUCGGGUACGACGAGCGGCGAACGGGUGAGUAACACGUGGGUGACCUGCCCUUAGCUCUGGGAUAAGCCUGGGAAACUGGGUCUAAUACCGGAUAUGACCUCAUGACGCAUGUUGUGGGGUGGAAAGCCUUGUGCGGCUAGGGAUGGGCCCGCGGCCUAUCAGCUUGUUGGUGGGGUGAUGGCCACCAAGGCGACGACGGGUAGCCGGCCUGAGAGGGCGACCGGCCACACUGGGACUGAGACACGGCCCAGACUCCUACGGGAGGCAGCAGUGGGGAAUCUUGCGCAAUGGGCGAAAGCUUGACGCAGCGACGCCGCGUGAGGGAUGACGGCCU
RNAcentral lists this ribosomal RNA (385 nucleotides) under uncultured bacterium. RNAcentral's name for it is "bacterial SSU rRNA". It matches the Rfam family "Bacterial small subunit ribosomal RNA", at positions 28 to 417 of the family's 1533-position model. The record is from RNAcentral.